Molecule: ribosomal RNA, 494 nt
Filed under: uncultured bacterium
Lineage: Bacteria
Description: partial 16S ribosomal RNA
Rfam family: Bacterial small subunit ribosomal RNA
Source: RNAcentral
GACGAACGCUGGCGGCGUGCCUAAUACAUGCAAGUCGAACGGUUUAGUUCCAAGAGGCUUGCCUUUUGGAACUGGACAGUGGCGGACGGGUGAGUAACACGUAGGCAACCUACCUGUCAAACCGGGAUAACCUCGGGAAACCGAAGCUAAACCCGGAUAAGCUCCUUUUUCGCAUGAAGGGGGAGUGAAAAGGUGCGACCUGAUGACAGAUGGGCCUGCGGCGCAUUAGCUAGUAGGUAGGGUAACGGCCUACCUAGGCGAUGAUGCGUAGCCGACCUGAGAGGGCGUACGGCCACACUGGGACUGAGAUACGGCCCAGACUCCUACGGGAGGCAGCAGUAGGGAAUCUUCGGCAAUGGGCGAAAGCCUGACCGAGCAACGCCGCGUGAGUGAGGAAGGCCUUCGGGUUGUAAAACUCUGUUGUUUGGGAAGAAGGGAAAGGGUAGGACCCUUAGGUGACGGUACCAAACGAGAAAGCCCCGGCUAACUACGUG